UUUCUGCCUACAGCUAUGUGAGUCUGAAUUCUUCUUCACAAGGGUAACCAGAUGAAGAGGCACCAUUUUAGGUAAGGUCUUGUGGAUGUUUUUUGCAAUGGUAGAAGUAUUUGCAUUGAGACACCCUUACCUGAAAUGUUCUAACAUUAAACAUAUUUUUUGGUGUUUGUGUUGUGAUGCUGGCACACAAACAACCCACGACCAGUUUGUGACCCCAGAACUUCCUCCUCUUCUGCCACCUCCAGCUGAUGAGAUCAUGAGUUCAGUCCUUGACAUGGGAUUUAGUCUGCCUGAUGUUAUUCUACUUGUGUCUUAGCCUCUUCCCAUUCUCGUAUGACUUUAUCCUCCUUUAUUGAUGUUGCUUCAUAACCCCAUGAACUGCACGGGGUGUAUUUCAUUACUGCUGGACUACUUGCGUGGGAGUGCUAAUGAAAACAUUGAAUGAAAUCAAGCCCAAGGCUUUGAAAAACUCCUCUGGAAGGAUGGUUCUUCCACAGCCUUGAAGGGGGUCCAAUUCCGAGGUGAAGCCACACAAGGUUCCCAGCAUGACAGAGCUCCCCUAUUGCAAAUAGCCGCUCUUUUGACGUGAAGAGAAAGGAAUCUCAUCCCAACACAUCUGCAGGGAUGCUAUUGGUCUCCUUAGCCCUGUCUUGACACUGCUCAGACGUGACACCAGCAUCUACAAGCUUCUCCCAGGAGGGUUCAUUUGCUGAAGAGAGGAUCAUCAUGGUCUCCCUGGGAGGUGCAAUAAAGGAGAAGCCCUUUAGUUGCAGCAGUGUUUUUUUUCUGAAGUACCUCAGUGCCAGCACAUACUUGUCCACGAUGUAAUUUUUUCCCAUUAAUAAAUCCACAGACCCUGCUGGAUACCACUGCUGUUAUGUUUGCAAAAUCUUAUGGUGUUAAUGGGGCUCUGCUCCUUUCACUUGUCUUGACAAUAUGAAAUAUUGGCCUCCUAAGUGUUGGUUUUCCAAGGUAUUUAAGUGUUCCACUCUCCUUGGGCUAAUGGACAUCUUAUUAAAGCUGUCAGACUUCAUUUCUGGCUUGCCAGAUGCCACAGUCUUAUGGUGUAGCAGAGACGUGUCCCUGUGUUUUCUUUUAACGCUGUCAGCUACCCACUGGAUUCCCCUAUCCCAGGGCUUGCUGCUAAUAGAAAUGUAACCAUGUUUUGCUGCAAAGUGCAUAAAAACAUCAAUUUUAUUAUGUAAAAAGGGCCUACUGAGUACACAAGCAGCAGCAGCUUUAACAGCUGAUUGCUUGUUCUGAUCCUCCAGAGUGCGGUUUUACAAGGCGGUUUGGUUUAAGAGCAGCACAGAGGGAAAAUUGUGUCUUUGGGAUGUACUCUGCAUGAAACGGCCCCCUUGUACGCAGGAUAUUGGAGAAUGAGAGAUAAAUAGUCUCCGGCACAAGAAACAGCAUUGGUCCAUACUACUGAGUCAUCAGAAGAAUGAUGGAUCCCCAAACAACUUUGAGAUGAGCUGUAAGCGCGCACAGCCCAAACUGUCUAAAAAAAAAAAAAAACGGGGGGGGGGGGGGGCAAGGAAAACAAACAAGACACAGCAUUUCUGAGAAAAUAAUGUCGACAGCUGCCCAACAAAGGUCUGCAUGAUGCCUUGCUAAGUUUGUCCCAUAGCGUUUCACUUGGGGCCCUGCAGGCAUUGCCCUGCUGAGGAAUGAAGACAAUGGAUUCGGCAAGGCACCGGCUAUAAAUAGUCACCUUGAUGUCACUGGUAUAAAAAGCAGCAAGUGACAAUUAAGUAGUUUCUGGAGAACCACAAGCCCAGUAGCCUGGAUUGUAUGGAGGGCAUUUAUACCCAUCUGGGGAAAGGGAUUGUACUAGAACUAUUUUUUUUUUUUCCUGAAGCAGCAACUGGUUGCUUUAUGUCCUGAUAAAUGCGCUCAUGGGAAGGGAUGAUGUAUUAAACUGUUUGACACAG
Long non-coding RNA from Oxyura jamaicensis (ruddy duck), 1934 nucleotides. RefSeq lists it as uncharacterized. Lineage: Eukaryota; Metazoa; Chordata; Aves; Anseriformes; Anatidae. The record is from RefSeq and is a predicted model, not a curated record. The transcript has 2 exons.